Molecule: ribosomal RNA, 432 nt
Filed under: uncultured bacterium
Lineage: Bacteria
Description: partial 16S ribosomal RNA
Rfam family: Bacterial small subunit ribosomal RNA
Source: RNAcentral
ACGAACGCUGGCGGCAUGCCUAAUCCCUGCAAGUCGAACGCGAUCUUCGGAUCUAGUGGCGCACGGGUGCGUAACGCGUGGGAAUCUGCCCUUGGGUUCGGAAUAACUUCUGGAAACGGAAGCUAAUACCGGAUGAUGACGUAAGUCCAAAGAUUUAUCGCCCAAGGAUGAGCCCGCGUAGGAUUAGGUAGUUGGUGAGGUAAAGGCUCACCAAGCCGACGAUCCUUAGCUGGUCUGAGAGGAUGAUCAGCCACACUGGGACUGAGACACGGCCCAGACUCCUACGGGAGGCAGCAGUAGGGAAUAUUGGACAAUGGGCGAAAGCCUGAUCCAGCAAUGCCGCGUGAGUGAUGAAGGCCUUAGGGUUGUAAAGCUCUUUUACCCGGGAUGAUAAUGACAGUACCGGGAGAAUAAGCUCCGGCUAAUUCCGUG